Molecule: transfer RNA, 75 nt
Filed under: Candidatus Delongbacteria bacterium
Lineage: Bacteria; Candidatus Delongiibacteriota
Also listed under: 1 other name
Description: tRNA-Val
Rfam family: tRNA
About the family: Transfer RNA (tRNA) molecules are approximately 80 nucleotides in length. Their secondary structure includes four short double-helical elements and three loops (D, anti-codon, and T loops).
Source: RNAcentral
GGGAGUAUAGCUUAGUUGGUUUAAAGCGCCAGCUCGACAAGCUGGAGAUCACAGGUUCGAGUCCCGUUAUUCCCA